UACGGGGGGGGCAAGCGUUGUUCGGAAUUACUGGGCGUAAAGGGCCAGUAGGCGGCCAACUAAGUCCGACGUGAAAUCCCCAGGCUCAACUUGGGAACUGCGUCGGAUACUGGAUGGCUUGAAUUCGGGAGAGGGAUGCAGAAUUCCAGGUGUAGCGGUGAAAUGCGUAGAUAUCAGGAGGAACACCGGUGGCGAAGGCGGGUCUCUGGGCAACAACUGACGCUGAGGAGCGAAAGCGUGGGGAGCGAACAGG
This 253-nucleotide ribosomal RNA is filed under the name uncultured bacterium. RNAcentral describes it as "partial 16S ribosomal RNA". It matches the Rfam family "Bacterial small subunit ribosomal RNA", at positions 524 to 776 of the family's 1533-position model. The record is from RNAcentral.